UUUGCUUCUCGGCCUAUCGGCUCAGACCAAGUGUAGUUUCUGUUCUUAUCAUCUUUAAUAUCUGAUAUGCCUUUUACUUAAGGACCCUAUAUUAAACUGAGUUUUGGUGCAGGGAGUUGGCAUCAGAGCUUGCUCCGUCCACCCUGUGCAUCGUCCAGGUAUUGCAGUGUUUCCAGGAAUGGAAGGGGGGUU
Molecule: small nuclear RNA, 192 nt
Organism: Stegostoma tigrinum
Lineage: Eukaryota; Metazoa; Chordata; Chondrichthyes; Orectolobiformes; Stegostomatidae
Product: U2 spliceosomal RNA
Exons: 1
Source: RefSeq, a predicted model, not a curated record